RNAcentral lists this long non-coding RNA (4536 nucleotides) under Nicotiana benthamiana. RNAcentral describes it as "long non-coding RNA (NBEN_LNC042303)". The record is from RNAcentral. Lineage: Eukaryota; Viridiplantae; Streptophyta; Magnoliopsida; Solanales; Solanaceae.
UGAUUCUAAUGCAUGUUAUAGCCUAUGGUAUGAUUUUAAAAUUAUUAACUGCUUUUAAUUAAUUUUAGGAAGAUUCCACGUUAUCUAAAAUACGUCUCUGAACCACGCCACAUGAAAUGCACCCGCGAUCCAUGACACAUUUUAUUUAACGUUGUGAAAUAUGGAUUUGAGUCACAUAAAAUGCACACCCUUGUUUAGGAAUGUAAUUUUAAAUUACACGCCUAAAGCAACUACUUAUUUUCAACAUUGCGAGGGCCAUGGAAAGUUCACUUAAUGGCACGUCUCGAAUUUUAAGAAUUUUAAAAUUAAUUAAGCGAGGGCCGUACAUUUUCAGAUUUUAUUCGGCAUGGCACACAUCAUAUUAUUCUAUCAAAAGUAUUUCUAUUCUUAGUUUUGAGGGCCAUAAAUUAUAACUUGUCUUAUAUGGCUCGUCUCAAAUCCAUUUUAAAAAUCUAGUCAAUUAGGGAAAAACUUAAGGGGAUUAAAAUUAAUUAUUCGAACCUAUGUAGCAAUUAACAGGCACAGUAUUAAGCAACCAAUUGUCUAAAAAGGAAAUUGCUUCCACAAUAAAGCAACUAAAGGAAGGAGCUGCAUCUGAUGAAACGAAACAAGCUCAAGUAACAAAAGGUAAACAAUCGAUUCACAGGUGCUUGUAGGCUUGGGCCCAAAAGAGCCCAGUUUUAGUGAAACAAUGAGCACCCUAUCGACAUGAGGGCAUGCAAUUGAACCUGAGAUUGGCUGUCCUUCAGCUGGGCCAACAUUAGGCCCAGUUCUUAUGACCCAAUGAUUCGUACACAAUCAAAUAACGCAAAUCAGCUAAUGCUACGUAAAACAUAAAAUCGAAUUAACAAUUUUGACUUCUGAAUUUUAACUAUUUGACACAAAUUACCUAGCUAAACUUCUAAUUUGCUAUGCGAAAAAUCCAGUAGCAAACUAAACGAGCUACUGGGCUCGAGAAACAAGCCCAAGUAGCAAUGCUAUGCCAUUUUCCCUUGCAAAUGACCUCAGAUUCCAUGAACCAAAAACUUGUAAAAAACCAAGGCUGAUGGUCAAGACUCAAAAUCGAGUCUAUUCCUACAACAAACUACCAUCUGCCCAAUGAUAAAUAUAAUAAAUCUCAUCACUACACAGUAAUUGAGACACAAAACAAGUUCAAAGACUACUGGGAAUACAUGCUCGUCAUCAACUAAUCAAACAUUCAUGCUUGAAUUCAGCCCUAAAUUAAACUCACAAACAAAACUUGAACUUAAACUCAAUUAACUCUUUCUCAAUACCAAUAGUAACAAUAUCUAGGAAAUUAACACCAUUCACUUAAAUAAAUAAAUAAUCAACACCCCAAACUUAAACAUGUUCAUAUGCUAUCCAGAAGUAAAUCAAUGCACGCUUUACCUUUUAAUGUAACCUAGACCAUUUCCUCUAUUCAUAACACUAAUCGCAACAUGGACUGUAUUUCACAACUGACAAAACUCAAAGCUCGAAACUCUUGCAAGAUUCAAGCCUCAUUUCACAAGACACUGCACACUGAACUGAUUAUGCUAAACAAUAUGUACAUAAUAAACUUGAAACUAAUUUUCAGUCUGAGUUCAUAAUCACAUAUUACAAACCAUUCACAGCAAAGAGCAUCUCACAUUACUUCUCAAAUAGCAUGCCACGCAUCAUCAUUUUACCCUUAGUCUCCUUGCAUGUAGUUUUAUCAUAAGAACUGCUACCAAACAAUAUAACACUGAAAUGUCUAGCCAAAAACCAAAGAAAACUGAAACCAACAUGCCUCUUGACUGCAUCUUUUAUCUGCAGCAUCUCAAUAGUCUCAAAUUAAUACAAGAAAAACAAAUUCCAACAGCUAAAGCAGAAAUUAACUAAGAAAACAAUGGACUAAAGCUAUAAAACACCAUACAGCCAAAGACAUAAAACUGAACUCAUAAAAAGAAACUAGAAAAUGUUUUGAACUCUAUUUUUUUAAAUUUCACUCUUCAAUUCUAGCUUCACAUGGGAGUAGAAUGGAGAAGUGUACCUGAAUGAAAGCGAAAGGGGUCAGAAGUCUAGUCUGAAGCUAGAAGGAAGUAGUAGUAGCAGAAAUCAGCAAUGCGACAGUAACAACAACCAAAACCCAAACUUCGACAACCAGGACCCAAAUGAUUCAAAACUAAACCCUUAAUCCAGCAAUGGAACAGUAGAAACCAUAGUAAAAUCCAAACCGCACUCUACCAUAGCAGAACUCAAACCAUUUUUAAACCCAUAAUGCAAACCAUGAACUUUCAAUGGUUUGAGCUAAAUUAUCAGGGCCAGAAGAACAAGAAUCUGAGCAGAACUUUUAGUAAUUUUUCAUCAAAAUGCUAAGAUUGUUUCAGAAAUUUUUAGAGAAAAAGCAGUCGUUUCAAUCUUUUAGGAUUUUUCUUAGUCUCUUCAAAUCUCUCUUGCUAAAGACGAAAUGAUGUAUUUAUAGGCAAGCUUUUAGGGCAGCCCCAAGAUAUCAUAUUUUGCAUUUUGACCCUUUUUGAAUUUUUAUUUUUGCUUAAGAGACCUUAGUUUAAAAUUCAGAUUUUACUUGAGUCCCCCACCCCACCUUCCGGGAAACUUCCAAAUCAGUUAUAUCAGAUUCUUUCAUCCUAAAUUCCUAAGCAACCCUCCAAUACCCCUUUUAUUACCCCUUGAAACUCAUGGGUCAAGUUGACCCAAUGACUUAAUCAAAUGAAACGGGCUGACUUUCUUUUGCAAAUGGGUCUGAAACCAAAAGCCCAAACGACUUGGUUCAAGGCACUCUGGUUUUGCUUUAGGGAACCCAAAUGGGUAUGGGUCAAAAUGACCCAAUGUUCCACAACAAAAAAGCCUGGGCUGCCCAUAAAAAGGACAAGUUGUGGAUAAGGUGGAUCACAGUGUAUUACAUCAAAGACAGACCAAUAGAGUCCAUGCCAAUUCCUACCCAAGCUAGCUGGAUGGUUAAGAAGAUCAUCCAAUCAAGAGAUACUCUACAAAGGCUCUAGAACUGGAAACAUCAGAAAUGCUCGACUAGACAAUUGUACCAGUCACUGAUGCAAGAAGUGCCGAUAGUCCCAUGGAAGAAUUUAAUCAUACAAAACCAAGCCAGACCAAAAGCAAUGUUCAACCUAUGGCUAUUCCUACAGGACAGACUCUCAACAAAGGAUAGACUUCACAGCUGGGGAAUGAGCAUUGACCAGCAAUGCACCUUAUGCCAAAUCCACCCUGAAAAGAGAUCAUUUGCUCAUGAACUGCCCUGUCUCUGUGGACCUAUGGGAAGAGUAAUGAACUGGUUGCAGGAACAAUACCCACCUAGUAUUGAUUGGAACCAGAAAAUGAAAUGGUUGAUUAGCUCCAAGGGCCGAACCUGUCGUGCAGCCACUUUUAAAAUGGUUACAGCUGAAUUUGCAUAUGCUAUAUGGCUGGAAAGGAAUGCAAGAGUUUUCAACAAGGUUUUUCGAUGUAAUACUGCUUUACUGAGAGACAUAGUGUAUAAUUGUAAUGUUAGAGGCACCCCUAGAAUUAGACAACUAUUGCAACACCUUAGAAUAUAGUAGAGCUAGGCAGUUAGGAUAGUAAGUGUAGUCAGUAUGUUAUCUCAGCUGAAGCUCGACCGUGGUUUUGUAAUGUUACUUCAUGGGUGAUUAAUGAAAAAGCCUUAAUUACCAAAAAAAAACAAAGCCUGGGCUAACCCCUUCCUUUUAGACCCAAGUCCAAUUCAGAAAUUCAAAAGAAAAAUCUAAAAGGCAGAACAAAUAACAAACAAAAGCACGUUGGAAUCAAAUGGACUUCUGAACCAACUGGUUUCUUCGGCCCAAAACUAAAUGAAAAUCAAACAGACUAAAACAAAAUUAAAGAAGAUACUGAUUAACGAUUGGCCUAGAUUAAAGGGACACACGCAGAAGUGAUUUUGAGAAAACAAAUGGACUUCUGAACAAAUAAUAAACAAAAGCACUUAAGAAUCAAAUGGACUUCUUAACCAACUAGUCUUUCCAGCCCAAAACUAAAUGAAAAUCAAACAGAUUAAAACAAAACUAAAGAAGAUACUGAUUAACGAUUAGGCUGGAUUUAAGGGAUACAUGCAGAAGUGAUUUUGAGAACAUAGAUGAAGAGAAUAAAAAUAGAAGAAGAUAGGGAAAAGAAAUGAAGAAAAAGGGAUCCUGAAAAGGUGAAUAAAAACUCUUGAAUGACCCUUUGAAGAAUCCAAUUUUGGACCGACGUAAACCUUAAUCGUUGUUCUCGACGAAAAUACACGACAAAAGUCCAAUCCGAACUCAAAUCUUCGAUCAACUGGCUGAUUUGCAUUUUUUGGGAUUUAGGGUUACGAUUUUAGAUUUAAGAUUCGAGGGAUUCAAGUCUAGUUCUAGGGAAAAGGGACCAGGAGGUCGUGAUGGUCAAGGGGUGUUAUUUUGGGGUCGAUUGGGACGCCGCCGCCGCCAGCGAGGGUAGGGGAUUUGAGGACGGCACCCUAGGGUUCGUGGUUUAGUCAGUGUAAAGUGAGAGACGAGAUUGGGGUGGGUAGGCACGCGUUUGGACAAUUAUAUAUUAGGUAAACGACCA